This is a long non-coding RNA of Acinonyx jubatus (cheetah), 1774 nucleotides long. RefSeq lists it as uncharacterized. Lineage: Eukaryota; Metazoa; Chordata; Mammalia; Carnivora; Felidae. The record is from RefSeq and is a predicted model, not a curated record. The transcript is spliced from 6 exons.
GGUCACAUUCAAUUCUCACACAACCUGUGGCUGGUUUACAGAUGAUGGCCCAAGGUGUACCACCAGCCAGUAAGGCCCAGGUAUAUAGACAGCCAAACCUGGUCUAUUCUGGGUAGCCCAGUGCCUUCUUCAGGGUGGGAAGCAUAGCACCUGGCAGGUGAAGGUCAUCAAGGGUCACCCCCUGCCUGGAGCUGCCUCCUGCACUCUGUGAGCCCUCUCCUGUUUCAGCCAUCCCGUGGGUCUCUACCAAAAAGAGUGGGGGCGCUUAGCUCCCUCUUGUGGUCGCAUUAGUCAGGAGACACUCCUGCUUGCAGGAGGCCAUGCCUUUCAGGAACGCUGAGAAAAUCACCGCGAUGGACAAGGUUUGGCCCAUCUAAGAGGAAUCCCGCUCUCCGGCAUAUCGGCAUAUCGAUGGCACUCCAUACAAGUCUGAUCAAUCACUGAAUGAAACAGACACCCGGAAGCAGAGAAUCCCAUCUAGUGCAGCACAUCACAUCCAGUGUCAUGUCUCCUGGGGCUCCUGUUGGCUGUCACAAUUUCUCAGACUUCCCUUGUUUGUGAUUACACUGAUGGUUUUAAGAAGUACUGUGUGGAAGUUGUGGGUUGAACCAGAAGUUCCAUGGAUCCAGGCAGGUCAGACCCUGACCAUAACUGCGGGAUUCUGGAGGUUUUGCUAGAGCUGGCCCGUCCACCCCAACCAAGGAGAGGGCAUAUAAGUUGAGCACAAGCAGAGUCAGGGAGAGAGAGAGAACCUCAAGCAGGCCCUGCACUGUGAGUGCAGAGCCCGAUGCAGGGCUCAAACUCACGAACUGUGAGAUCACGACCUGAGCCAAAACCAGGAGUUGGAUGCUUAACCAGGUGUGAUGGAGUCCCCAUUUCCCUCUGUAUCUGGAUAUUUUGUGGCCAUUCUUUGCUUCCAGAUAGUAGUACUCGCUUCAGAAAGAGCAUCAAAAAAACCUGUGGCCAUAUUUAAUCCACCCCAAAUGGACACUGAGAAAAGUAACUGGAAUAUUCGAUAAGUGAAGACCGAUUAUUGUUCAGCAUAGCAGUCCACACGCCGCCUCUGGACAGUGGUCCCUUCGUUAAGUAUGGACAGAGCGUCUACUACGUUCUGGCACUAUCAUCCCUGGAGACGAUAAUGAGAAUUUUUAAAAGGGAAUAAAACAGAGACUCUGCAUGGCUCACGUGUUAGUGGGCCAUGAGAGGACAUAAGGACAGGAAUUAAAAAUAUCAGUCGGGGUGCCUGGGUGGCUCAGUCAGUUGGGCAUCCAACUUCAGCUCAGGUCAUGUUCUCGCAGUUCGUGGGCUCGGGCCUCACGUCGGGCUCUGUGCUGGCAGCUCGGAGCCUGGGGCCUGCUUCGGUUUCUGUGUCUCCCUCUCUCUCUGCCCCUCCCCCAAUUGUCUCCUCUCUCUCUCUCUCUCUCAAAAAUAAAUAAGCAUUAAAAAAAUAUAAUGUGGUGAUAUGUCUUAUGAAGACAGUUUAGGUAUAACUAGGGGAAAUGUUGAAUGGAUGGUCAUCAACAUUUUCUCCAAGAAACUGACAUUUAAGCUGGGACCUGAGAGACCAAGGAGAAGGCAGUGAUGACGGGAGCGUCGGAGAGAAUUGUGCUGCUGUCUGAGAGCAAACUUCCAAAGUCAGGAAAGGCUUGGCAUCAAGAACCAGGAAGAAGGUUGAUGGUGCCAGUGCAGAGGGAUCUAGGUGAAGCUUCCAGGUGGUCCCAGCAGGCAGACAGGCUGAGUUCAGCUGCCAGCUUCCCCACCACAGUGAGCAGAG